Molecule: ribosomal RNA, 486 nt
Filed under: uncultured bacterium
Lineage: Bacteria
Description: partial 16S ribosomal RNA
Rfam family: Bacterial small subunit ribosomal RNA
Source: RNAcentral
AUUGAACGCUGGCGGCAUGCCUUACACAUGCAAGUCGAACGGCAGCACGGGUGCUUGCACCUGGUGGCGAGUGGCGAACGGGUGAGUAAUACAUCGGAACAUGUCCUGUAGUGGGGGAUAGCCCGGCGAAAGCCGGAUUAAUACCGCAUACGAUCUACGGAUGAAAGCGGGGGCCCUUCGGGCCUCGCGCUAUAGGGUUGGCCGAUGGCUGAUUAGCUAGUUGGUGGGGUAAAGGCCUACCAAGGCGACGAUCAGUAGCUGGUCUGAGAGGACGACCAGCCACACUGGGACUGAGACACGGCCCAGACUCCUACGGGAGGCAGCAGUGGGGAAUUUUGGACAAUGGGCGAAAGCCUGAUCCAGCAAUGCCGCGUGUGUGAAGAAGGCCAUCGGGUUGUAAAGCACUUUUGUCCGGAAAGAAAUCCUUGGCCCUAAUACGGUCGGGGGAUGACGGUACCGGAAGAAUAAGCACCGGCUAACUACGUG